RNAcentral lists this long non-coding RNA (218 nucleotides) under Lupinus angustifolius (narrow-leaved blue lupine). Its description in RNAcentral is "long non-coding RNA (LANG_LNC000782)". Lineage: Eukaryota; Viridiplantae; Streptophyta; Magnoliopsida; Fabales; Fabaceae. The record is from RNAcentral.
AGAAUGGCAAGUAAUAAAACAUUUUCAUUCAAAAGGGGCGUGUGAAUCCUUAGCCAUCCAUUCAGAUUUGCAAGUAUCCAAAGGCAAUCAACUACUCCAAUUUGAAUUAAAAAACAUGAAGAUCCAAGCACUUAUACACUUUCCUUUUCAAGCAUUUUCCAUGAGGAAUUCGUCCACAACAACUCAGCCUAGCAAGACACGUUCAAAAUGCCCAAAAC